ACGGAGGGAGCAAGCGUUGUUCGGAAUUAUUGGGCGUAAAGGGCACGUAGGCGGCAAUGUAAGUCAGAUGUGAAAGACUCGGGCUCAACCAGAGAACAGCAUCUGAGACUGCAUAACUAGAAUCCAGGAGAGGGAAGUGGAAUUCCGGGUGUAGAGGUGAAAUUCGUAGAUAUUCGGAGGAACACCAGUGGCGAAGGCGGCUCACUGGACUGGUAUUGACGCUGAGGUGCGAAAGCGUGGGGAGCAAACAG
Molecule: ribosomal RNA, 251 nt
Filed under: uncultured prokaryote
Description: partial 16S rRNA
Rfam family: Bacterial small subunit ribosomal RNA
Source: RNAcentral